This 637-nucleotide long non-coding RNA is filed under the name Panicum hallii. Its description in RNAcentral is "long non-coding RNA (PHAL_LNC000120)". The record is from RNAcentral. Lineage: Eukaryota; Viridiplantae; Streptophyta; Magnoliopsida; Poales; Poaceae.
UGGAUUGGGAUUUGGAGAAACAAACAAAUUCACAAGUCUGACAGCAAGAUGCGAUAUGAAAUUUGGAGAGAAACAAUCUUAGAAGAAAGCAGCAGUUUUUGUAGCCAAUCCAAUCCAAUCCAGUCAAACAAUCAUUUCAAAAUCCCAACCAGCCAAUCAAAAUAGCCCCAAUCCCAUGAAUCUGAAUGAGAUGAUAAACUUCUUAUCAGAAACAAGAGUUGGAGAAUCACCCUGAACAAAAAAUUCCACUGGAUGCAUGGACCCAAGCUUAUUAGUGGAACCGUAAGUGGCUAGGAAGUGAUACAGAGUAGUAGCUGCAAUAGUGGCAAAUCAUAUAGCCAUGACCUCCAUUCUUCGCCUUCACAAGUCAAGAUUCAAGGAAAGAGGACCUUGCUUUCCAGGAGGAUGACGAUGAGGAGGCAUUGGUAGCUACAGCGGCAGGGCCUGCAUUGGCGGCGCUGGCGCCGUCCUCUGCUGGCUCGCUGUCGAAGAAGCGCCCCAGGUCCUCCUCCUCAAACCCUAUCGAGGCUGUGCCUGCUCCCUGCUGCGGCAGGCUCAUGUUUGCAGGUUCGCUAGUGCCUUCAGAGGGAGAAGGGGGGAGGGGGAUCACGGGAAAGAUGAGAGAGGACAGUGAGAC